This 405-nucleotide unclassified non-coding RNA is filed under the name soil metagenome. RNAcentral's name for it is "partial contains 5.8S ribosomal RNA, internal transcribed spacer 2, and large subunit ribosomal RNA". The stretch from base 1 to 122 matches the Rfam family "5.8S ribosomal RNA", at positions 35 to 154 of the family's 154-position model. The record is from RNAcentral.
GAUGAAGAACGUAGCAAAAUGCGAUACUUGGUGUGAAUUGCAGAAUCCCGUGAACCAUCGAGUUUUUGAACGCAAGUUGCGCCCGAAGCCUUUUGGCCGAGGGCACGUCUGCCUGGGCGUCACGCAUCGCGUCGCCCCCCCACAAUUCUCCGUAAAGGGAACAUGUGUUUUGGGGGCGGAUAUUGGUCUCCCGUGCUCAUGGCGUGGUUGGCCGAAAUAGGAGUCCUUUCGAUGGACGCACGAACUAGUGGUGGUCGUAAAAACCCUCGUCUUUUAUUUCGUGCUGUUGCUCGCAAGGUAAACUCUUUAAAAACCCCAAUGCGUCGUCUCUUGACGACGCUUCGACCGCGACCCCAGGUCAGGCGGGACUACCCGCUGAGUUUAAGCAUAUCAAUAAGCGGAGGA